AGGUGAAAGUAUGAAGGAGCUGAAAAUUCUGGGAGCAGAAGAAGAUUUGAAGGAUUUGAAGCUUGCUCUCAUUGACUUUAAUGUUAAAAUAAAAUGUUUAAAACCUUAAUAUUUGAAAAAGUAUAAAUAGUUGAAAAAUACUAGAAGAAGUCCCAUUAUCUGCUUAAAGAGCUAAAGAUUUGAAAAAUUGAAUGGUUUAAAUAGCUGAAGUUAGAGAGCCAAAAAACGU
Etheostoma spectabile (orangethroat darter) is the source of this 229-nucleotide long non-coding RNA. RefSeq lists it as uncharacterized. The transcript has 3 exons. The record is from RefSeq and is a predicted model, not a curated record. Lineage: Eukaryota; Metazoa; Chordata; Actinopteri; Perciformes; Percidae.